GCCUGGAUGGCGGAAUUGGUAGACGCAAGGGACUUAAAAUCCCUCGGUGAUUUCACCGUGCCGGUUCGAUUCCGGCUCCAGGCACCA
This 87-nucleotide transfer RNA is filed under the name Deltaproteobacteria bacterium. RNAcentral describes it as "tRNA-Leu". It matches the Rfam family "tRNA". From Rfam's summary of the family: Transfer RNA (tRNA) molecules are approximately 80 nucleotides in length. Their secondary structure includes four short double-helical elements and three loops (D, anti-codon, and T loops). Further hydrogen bonds mediate the characteristic L-shaped molecular structure. tRNAs have two regions of fundamental functional importance: the anti-codon, which is responsible for specific mRNA codon recognition, and the 3' end, to which the tRNAs corresponding amino acid is attached (by aminoacyl-tRNA synthetases). tRNAs cope with the degeneracy of the genetic code in two manners: having more than one tRNA (with a specific anti-codon) for a particular amino acid; and 'wobble' base-pairing, i.e. permitting non-standard base-pairing at the 3rd anti-codon position. RNAcentral also lists the same sequence under 1 other name. The record is from RNAcentral. Lineage: Bacteria; Pseudomonadati; Myxococcota; Myxococcia.